GGGGAAUCUUGGACAAUGGGGGCAACCCUGAUCCAGCCAUGCCGCGUGAGUGAAGAAGGCCCUAGGGUCGUAAAGCUCUUUCGCCGGGGAAGAUAAUGACUGUACCCGGUAAAGAAACCCCGGCUAACUCCGUGCCAGCAGCCGCGGUAAUACGGAGGGGGUUAGCGUUGUUCGGACUUACUGGGCGUAAAGGGCACGUAGGCGGAUCUGCAAGUUGGGGGUGAAAUCCCGGGGCUCAACCCCGGAAUUGCCCUCAAGACUGCGGGUCUCGAGUUCGAGAGAGGUGAGUGGAAUUCCGAGUGUAGAGGUGAAAUUCGUAGAUAUUCGGAGGAACACCAGUGGCGAAGGCGGCUCACUGGCUCGAUACUGACGCUGAGGUGCGAAAGCGUGGGGAGCAAAC
RNAcentral lists this ribosomal RNA (400 nucleotides) under uncultured bacterium. RNAcentral's name for it is "bacterial SSU rRNA". It matches the Rfam family "Bacterial small subunit ribosomal RNA", at positions 356 to 773 of the family's 1533-position model. The record is from RNAcentral.